Molecule: ribosomal RNA, 168 nt
Filed under: Scaphiopus holbrookii (eastern spadefoot toad)
Lineage: Eukaryota; Metazoa; Chordata; Amphibia; Anura; Pelobatidae
Description: partial 12S rRNA
Source: RNAcentral
CACCGCGGUUAUACGAGAGGCUUAAAUUGAUAGUCUUCGGCGUAAAGCGUGAUUAGACUUCACCAAAAAUAGGGCUGAAUUGCAACCCAGCCGUUAUACGCUUCUGUUGCAAAGAAACACACUUACGAAAGUCGCCCUAAUCUAGUUGAACUCACGACCGCUAGGUCA